RNAcentral lists this ribosomal RNA (429 nucleotides) under Gemmatimonadota bacterium. Its description in RNAcentral is "Gemmatimonadetes bacterium partial 16S ribosomal RNA". It matches the Rfam family "Bacterial small subunit ribosomal RNA", at positions 355 to 776 of the family's 1533-position model. Lineage: Bacteria; Pseudomonadati; Gemmatimonadota. The record is from RNAcentral.
UAGGGAAUCUUCGGCAAUGGACGAAAGUCUGACCGAGCAACGCCGCGUGAGUGAAGAAGGCUUUCGGAUCGUAAAACUCUGUUGUUAGAGCAGAACAAGGACGUUAGUAACUGAACGUCCCCUGACGGUAUCUAACCAGAAAGCCACGGCUAACUACGUGCCAGCAGCCGCGGUAAUACGUAGGUGGCAAGCGUUGUCCGGAUUUAUUGGGCGUAAAGCGAGCGCAGGCGGUUUCUUAAGUCUGAUGUGAAAGCCCCCGGCUCAACCGGGGAGGGUCAUUUGAAACUGGGAGACUUGAGUGCAGAAGAGGAGAGUGGAAUUCCAUGUGUAGCGGGGAAAUGCUUAGAUAUAUGGAGGAACACCAGUGGCGAAGGCGGCUCUCUGGUCUGUAACUGACGCUGAGGCUCGAAAGCGUGGGGAGCAAACAGG